RNAcentral lists this ribosomal RNA (372 nucleotides) under uncultured organism. RNAcentral's name for it is "bacterial SSU rRNA". It matches the Rfam family "Bacterial small subunit ribosomal RNA", at positions 526 to 896 of the family's 1533-position model. The record is from RNAcentral.
CGUAGGGUGCAAGCGUUGCCCGGAUUUAUUGGGCGUAAAGGGCGCGUAGGCGGCUCGGCACGUCCGUUGUGAAAUCGCCCGGCUCAACUGGGCGGGGUCGGCGGAUACGGCCGAGCUGGAGCAAGCUAGGGGGUAAUGGAAUUCCCGGUGUAGUGGUGGAAUGCGUAGAUAUCGGGAGGAACACCAGUGGCGAAGGCGGUUACCUGGAGCUUUGCUGACGCUGAUGCGCGAAAGCGUGGGGAGCGAUCCGGAUUAGAUACCCGGGUAGUCCACGCCGUAAACGAUGCGGACUAGGUGUCGGGGGUAUCGACCCCCUCGGCGCCGCAGCUAACGCAUUAAGUCCGCCGCCUGGGGACUACGGCCGCAAGGCUA